Mus musculus (house mouse) is the source of this 3259-nucleotide RNA transcript. It is a transcript of the gene named peroxisomal biogenesis factor 5, with no coding region annotated. NCBI's taxonomy places the organism in Eukaryota, Metazoa, Chordata, Mammalia, Rodentia, Muridae. The transcript is spliced from 16 exons. The record is from RefSeq and is marked validated.
ACUCCGGGUGCCUCGGCCGGUCGGACGGUGCGGCCCGCGACGGCGAGCAUUGGAGCCUGGGGGCGCGGGGUCGAGGCCCGGAAGCUGCUGGUCACCAUGGCAAUGCGGGAGCUGGUGGAGGGCGAAUGUGGGGGUGCCAACCCGCUGAUGAAGCUGGCCACCCAUUUCACCCAGGACAAGGCCCUUCGGCAGGAGGGACUGAGGCCUGGCCCCUGGCCUCCGGGAGCCUCAGCAGCAGAGACCGUUUCCAAGCCUUUGGGAGUAGGAACUGAAGACGAGUUUUCGUUUCUCUGUCCAACAUCAGUGGGCCCUGCCUCUGGCUGAGGCCCUCUGAUCCUAAUGUUCAUCCGACCAUCUCUCUGUAAUAGUUGGUGUCAGAAUUCCUGCAGGACCAGAAUGCAACUCUUGUAUCCCGAGCCCCUCAGACCUUCAAGAUGGAUGACCUCCUGGCAGAGAUGCAGGAGAUUGAACAGUCAAACUUUCGCCAGGCUCCUCAGAGAGCCCCUGGUGUGGCAGAUUUGGCCUUGUCUGAGAAUUGGGCCCAGGAGUUUCUUGCAGCUGGAGAUGCUGUGGAUGUAGCUCAAGAUUAUAAUGAGACCGACUGGUCCCAAGAAUUCAUCGCCGAAGUUACAGACCCACUGUCCGUGUCCCCUGCCCGAUGGGCUGAGGAGUAUCUGGAGCAGUCUGAGGAGAAGCUGUGGUUGGGAGACCAGGAAGGAUCCUCUACCGCUGAUCGAUGGUACGAUGAAUAUCAUCCUGAGGAGGACCUGCAGCACACAGCCAGUGACUUUGUGUCCAAGGUGGACGACCCCAAAUUGGCUAACUCUGAGUUCCUGAAAUUCGUGCGGCAGAUUGGCGAGGGGCAGGUGUCCCUGGAGUCGGCUGCAGGGUCGGGCGGAGCUCAGGCAGAACAGUGGGCAGCAGAGUUUAUACAGCAGCAGGGCACGUCAGAGGCCUGGGUUGAUCAGUUUACAAGACCAGGAAACAAAAUAGCUGCCCUUCAGGUGGAAUUUGAACGAGCCAAGUCAGCUAUAGAGUCUGAUGUCGAUUUCUGGGACAAGUUACAGGCAGAGUUGGAGGAGAUGGCCAAGCGGGAUGCCGAGGCGCACCCCUGGCUUUCUGACUAUGAUGACCUCACAUCCGCUUCCUAUGACAAGGGUUACCAGUUUGAGGAGGAGAAUCCCUUGCGUGACCACCCUCAGCCUUUUGAAGAAGGGCUGCAUCGACUGGAGGAGGGAGACCUGCCCAAUGCUGUGUUGCUCUUCGAGGCUGCUGUGCAGCAGGAUCCUAAGCACAUGGAAGCUUGGCAGUACCUGGGCACCACCCAGGCCGAGAAUGAGCAAGAGCUCUUGGCUAUCAGUGCCCUGCGGAGGUGUCUGGAACUAAAGCCAGAUAACCGGACAGCACUGAUGGCGCUGGCUGUGAGCUUUACCAAUGAGUCCCUGCAGCGCCAGGCCUGUGAGACGUUGAGGGACUGGCUGCGCUACUCACCGGCCUACGCUCAUCUGGUGGCUCCUGGGGAAGAAGGGGCGACCGGGGCAGGCCCCAGCAAGCGCAUCUUGGGAUCUCUGUUGUCUGACUCCCUGUUUCUUGAAGUAAAAGAUCUCUUCCUGGCGGCUGUGCGUCUGGACCCUACAUCCAUUGACCCUGAUGUGCAGUGUGGCCUGGGAGUCCUCUUCAACCUGAGCGGGGAGUACGACAAGGCUGUGGACUGUUUCACAGCUGCCCUCAGUGUUCGCCCCAAUGACUAUUUGAUGUGGAACAAGCUUGGGGCCACCCUGGCCAAUGGGAACCAGAGUGAAGAAGCAGUGGCUGCAUACCGCCGAGCCCUUGAACUACAGCCUGGGUAUAUUCGGUCCCGGUAUAACCUAGGCAUCAGCUGCAUCAACCUGGGAGCUCACCGUGAGGCUGUGGAGCACUUUCUGGAGGCUCUGAACAUGCAGAGGAAGAGCCGGGGCCCUCGGGGUGAGGGGGGCGCCAUGUCUGAGAACAUCUGGAGUACCCUGCGCUUGGCGUUAUCCAUGUUAGGCCAGAGCGAUGCCUAUGGGGCAGCCGAUGCUCGGGAUCUGUCUGCCCUCCUAGCUAUGUUUGGCCUGCCCCAGUGACAGUGGGAUGGGCUGCCCUGUGAGUGUCUGCUUGGAGGGGUCCGCGCUCUGGGUGUGACUCCCUCUCCUCAAACGGGCCUACCAAGGGGGUGGGCUGAUGACCACAAGCGGUACGACCUCUCAGGAGCUGCCUCAGAGUAGGGGUGCAUAGCUGUGUCUUAGGUCCUACUUAAUUGUAGGGAUGAGCUGUCUCUGUCCCUUGGUAAUUCAAGGGCUGUCUACCCAGCUACAGAUCUCUUUCUGUUCAUCAGGCCCUUUCUUGGUGCUGCUUCUUGGGUCGGACCCAAUGACAUAGGGGAGUUGUCAUCUGCCGUUUCUGAUAGGGUCUGCCACAUUUGUAAGUCUCUCCUUGCCCCAUCUUCCUGGGAAUUGGUAACAGUCCAGCUUCCUUGGGCAGUUGUGUGUAAGAGGCUCCCCUGAGCAUCUGUGCGACGCCAGCUGGGAUGGAUGUUAGGAGCUGCCCUGCUCGCUGAAAUGGUGAUGCGGCUCCCUAGAGCCGAACUUGGAACAAGUGCUCGCAGCUCGGUCACUCCGGGAGCGAGCAUGGAUCUUCUGUGGGUGGACACUGAAGCAGCAGAUGCUCAUGUGGUUACUGUACUGUCCUCAGGGCCAGGGCUUGUCACUGCAGGUGGCCUGGCCUAUGGGGGAGGGAGGUUCAUUUGUGGAAUGAGCCCAGAGAUGCGACAGUAGUGAUACGGUCAGCACUGCAGUCCUCUCUUCUUGGGAGACUUGGAAGUAGGAACUAAACAAACUCUUGUAGCAACCUGGUUCAGAAGUUGCAUUCUUGCCAAAUUCCCAACCAAGGGAGGGUUCAGUGUUACCAUAAGCCUUCUUGAAACCUUUAUAGGGGAUAUCAUUGAAAACCCCCUUCCCCUCGAUUACCUCCACAAGGUGAAGAUGAAGGGAUUCUGAGGGAGCAGCUGGAGACGUCUCCACUGUUUCUGUGUGGGGAGAUGCACAGACCCCCAUAAAUGACUGCUAAGCCUCUUACCUUGUCUUCAGUAGCUAAUGAUCAGAUUUUUUUUUUUUUUAAACUGCCAUGGUCCCAAAAUCCCAUCCUGAAAUUUAUUUUUCUUUGUAUGCAUAUGUGUAAAUGAUUUAAAAAUAAAACUGUAAAAUAUUUGUAUGAAGAAUAAACUGGACUGACGUGGGUA